UUCGGAAUGAAGUUUUAGUGACUGAGUGGCGGACGGGUGAGUAACGCGUGGGUAACCUGCCUCACACAGGGGGAUAACAGUUGGAAACGGCUGCUAAUACCGCAUAAGCGCACAGUACCGCAUGGUACAGUGUGAAAAACUCCGGUGGUGUGAGAUGGACCCGCGUCUGAUUAGCUAGUUGGCAGGGCAACGGCCUACCAAGGCGACGAUCAGUAGCCGACCUGAGAGGGUGACCGGCCACAUUGGGACUGAGACACGGCCCAAACUCCUACGGGAGGCAGCAGUGGGGAAUAUUGCACAAUGGGGGAAACCCUGAUGCAGCGACGCCGCGUGAGCGAAGAAGUAUUUCGGUAUGUAAAGCUCUAUCAGCAGGGAAGAAGAAAUGACGGUACCUGACUAAGAAGCACCGGCUAAAUACGUGCCAGCAGCCGCGGUAAUACGUAUGGUGCAAGCGUUAUCCGGAUUUACUGGGUGUAAAGGGAGCGCAGGCGGAAGGCUAAGUCUGAUGUGAAAGCCCGGGGCUCAACCCCGGUACUGCAUUGGAAACUGGUCAUCUAGAGUGUCGGAGGGGUAAGUGGAAUUCCUAGUGUAGCGGUGAAAUGCGUAGAUAUUAGGAGGAACACCAGUGGCGAAGGCGGCUUACUGGACGAUAACUGACGCUGA
This 663-nucleotide ribosomal RNA is filed under the name uncultured bacterium. RNAcentral describes it as "bacterial SSU rRNA". It matches the Rfam family "Bacterial small subunit ribosomal RNA", at positions 71 to 749 of the family's 1533-position model. The record is from RNAcentral.